RNAcentral lists this ribosomal RNA (111 nucleotides) under Jaculus jaculus (lesser Egyptian jerboa). Lineage: Eukaryota; Metazoa; Chordata; Mammalia; Rodentia; Dipodidae. The record is from RNAcentral.
AUCUAGGGCCAUAUACCCCUGAACACACCUGAUUUCAUCAGACUUUGGAAGUUAAGCAGGGUCAGACCUGGUUAGUACUUGGAUGAGAGAGAGGGAGACAGGUUGUUGAUC